Molecule: non-coding RNA, 79 nt
Filed under: Oscillospiraceae bacterium
Lineage: Bacteria; Bacillati; Bacillota; Clostridia; Eubacteriales; Oscillospiraceae
Source: RNAcentral
AGCCGAAACAGCGCCGCAAAUGCAGAGCGGCGGCUGUCUUACAGGGAUUACCUCCUGUAACUGAUGAUGGCAGGUUAAA